This 619-nucleotide ribosomal RNA is filed under the name uncultured cyanobacterium. RNAcentral describes it as "bacterial SSU rRNA". It matches the Rfam family "Bacterial small subunit ribosomal RNA", at positions 123 to 770 of the family's 1533-position model. The record is from RNAcentral. Lineage: Bacteria; Bacillati; Cyanobacteriota.
AAUCUGCCCUCGGGAGGGGGACAACCGCUGGAAACGGCGGCUAAUACCCCAUAAGCCCACGGGUGAAAGUUCCGGCGCCCGAGGAGGAGCUCGCGUCCGAUUAGCUAGUUGGUGGGGUAAGAGCCUACCAAGGCGACGAUCGGUAGCUGGUCUGAGAGGAUGAGCAGCCACACUGGGACUGAGACACGGCCCAGACUCCUCUCCUACGGGAGGCAGCAGUGGGGAAUCUUCCGCAAUGGGCGCCAGCCUGACGGAGCUAUACCGCGUGAGGGAAGAAGGCCCUUGGGUCGUAAACCUCUUUUCUCGGGGAAGAAAGAUGACGGUACCCGAGGAAAAAGCCUCGGCCAACUCCGUGCCAGCAGCCGCGGUAAUACGGAGGAGGCAAGCGUUAUCCGGAAUUAUUGGGCGUAAAGCGUCCGCAGGUGGCACCUCAAGUCGGCGGUGAAAGGCUGGGGCUCAACCCCAGACCAGCCGUGGAAACUGAGGAGCUAGAGUGCGGUAGGGGUAGAGGGAAUUCCCAGUGUAGGCGGUGAAAUGCGUAGAGAUUGGGAAGAACACCGGUGGCGAAAGCGCUCUACUGGACCGCAACUGACACUCAGGGACGAAAGCUAGGGGAGCG